UAGAAAGAAAAAGGAAAUGAAAGUUGCUAAAAAAAUGGAAGUUGCUGAAAAAAGAAAUCAAAAAGAAAAGUAAAAAGGGAUUAUAUAGGCUUUUAUUUAGUGGCCCAUGUACAAAGCCAUUCAAUCAGCCCAAACCCACGCACCGCCGCAUAGUCUUUCCCCUUCCUCGCAGCGCCGACGCUCAAUCUUCUGUUCCUUCCCCACUCGCGCUCAGCGGCGCUCGGACCCUCAGCGACGGAGGGGCAGUCCCAGGCUCGGCGGCGGCAUCAGCGGCUCCGCCUCCCGCCUCUCGCCAGUCGCAGCGCUCGCCUCCGUCCUCCGCGCACCAGCCGGCGACCCUGCGUCCAUAACGUCUGUGAUCAAGCCGGGCCUCAUGAUCUUGUCACUUACAGCACACUCACCCUUCAGCAUCUUAGCGACCAUUGACAUGGAGGGCCUGAUCUUGGGGCUAUCCUGGGUGCACAGAAGACCUAUUUUCAGCAACUGACGUGCUUCUUCGGUGUCAAAAUCAUUUUUCAGGGUCCUGUCAAUGAUGCUCUCAAGAUCAUCGGACUCAUAGAGUGUCCAGACCUGACAAAAUAGAAGAAACUUCAGAUGAUUUUAAUCAAAGUCUAAGAUCUAAUAGCACUAGCACUUCAGGAGGAACUGCUCAUCAAAAGGUAAUCUGGGAUCAGUGUGGCAUCUGCCACUGACAAUCUCCAGCAGCAGUACACCAAAGCUGUAGACAUCGGCCUUUUUGGUCAGCUGCCCUCGGAUGGCAUACUCUGGUG
Sorghum bicolor (sorghum) is the source of this 770-nucleotide long non-coding RNA. RefSeq lists it as uncharacterized. The record is from RefSeq and is a predicted model, not a curated record. Lineage: Eukaryota; Viridiplantae; Streptophyta; Magnoliopsida; Poales; Poaceae. The transcript has 3 exons.